CAGAGUUGCAAAACUCCCAACCAUUGUGAACCUACCUCACCGUUGCUUCGGCGGGUGGCCUUCUAACUCCAGGCCGCGCCGGCUCCCUCCAGGGGCUGGCAACCCGUCAGAGAACCGAAACUCUUCGUCAUUAUAGGCCUCUCUGAGUAACUUAUACAAUAAGUCA
Molecule: unclassified non-coding RNA, 166 nt
Filed under: uncultured Podospora
Lineage: Eukaryota; Fungi; Ascomycota; Sordariomycetes; Sordariales; Lasiosphaeriaceae
Description: sequence contains ITS1
Source: RNAcentral